CGGGUAGCGGAACACGUACAGAACUUUCCUUUAAGCGGGGGAUAGCCCGGAGAAAUCCGGAUUAAUACCCCAUAGUAAUGUUGGGUGGCAUCACUUGAUAUUUAAAGAUUUAUCACUUAGAGAUGGCUGUGCGGCUGAUUAGGUAGUUGGCGGGGUAAAGGCCCACCAAGCCAUCGAUCAGUAACUGGUGUGAGAGCACGACCAGUCACACGGGCACUGAGACACGGGCCCG
This 232-nucleotide ribosomal RNA is filed under the name uncultured bacterium. Its description in RNAcentral is "partial 16S ribosomal RNA". It matches the Rfam family "Bacterial small subunit ribosomal RNA", at positions 103 to 334 of the family's 1533-position model. The record is from RNAcentral.